AAAGAAAUUAAAAAUUUAUUUCAUAGUUCUUUCACCUGUACAUAUGCUGCAAUCAUAUUUUUUGUGCAUAUAUAUUUAAUACAACAUCAUGCUUAAAGGAGAAAAUAAAUUCUCCACAAUAUCAGAGCAACAUAGUCAUGCAUUUGGACAUAGUCCACACAGAAGAAUUAUUUCAUUAUAACAGCAAUACAAUUCAAUACAGAGCUUAGAGUGAAAUAUUUCACUUGCUGUUAAUCAGACUUAAUAUUUGUCUAAAUAUGAACAAUUUCUACACGACAGCUUAAUAGAAGCUGUAAAUGAUGUUUAAGUGCUCAAUAGAACUCUUUGUAAUUUAUGUCAUUGCAAGAAUUUUAUUCAACUUGGUCUAUAAUGACACAAGUUAUAGCAGAGAGUAAUAGACACAGAGCACGUGUAGUGUUAUAUGCUUAACUGCUCUUAAAAACCCUACUGGGGGUGUUUCACAAAGAUUUAAGUAUGACUUAAGUCGCCCUUAAAUGCCGACGCGUACAUGAUAUGACGCGCAAUCUGAUUGAUGGAUACGCGGUAGUGCACGUCUCUUGCCCGUGAUCUGACCAAUGUGAUGAUGUCUUCUAUACUGUACGCUACUGGGAAUUUAAAAAGAAAUUCCAGUAGUUGCAGUAAACACUGAUUUCAUG
Molecule: long non-coding RNA, 656 nt
Organism: Lytechinus variegatus (green sea urchin)
Lineage: Eukaryota; Metazoa; Echinodermata; Echinoidea; Temnopleuroida; Toxopneustidae
Exons: 3
Source: RefSeq, a predicted model, not a curated record